UACGGAAGGCAGCAGUGGGGAAUAUUGCACAAUGGGCGCAAGCCUGAUGCAGCCAUGCCGCGUGUAUGAAGAAGGCCUUCGGGUUGUAAAGUACUUUCAGUCGUGAGGAAGGUGUUAAGGUUAAUAACCUUAGCAAUUGACGUUAGCGACAGAAGAAGUACCGGCUAACUCCGUGCCAGCAGCCGCGGUAAUACGGAGGGUGCGAGCGUUAAUCGGAAUUACUGGGCGUAAAGGGCACGCAGGCGGUUAAUUAAGUUGGAUGUGAAAUCCCCGGGGCUUAACCUGGGAAUGGCAUUCAAGACUGGUUAGCUAGAGUCUUGUAGAGGGGGUAGAAUUCCAUGUGUAGCGGUGAAAUGCGUAGAGAUGUGGAGGAAUACCGGUGGCGAAGGCGGCCCCUGGACAAAGACUGACGCUCAUGUGCGAAAGACGUGGGGAGGCAAACAGGGAUUAGAUACC
Molecule: ribosomal RNA, 456 nt
Filed under: uncultured bacterium
Lineage: Bacteria
Description: bacterial SSU rRNA
Rfam family: Bacterial small subunit ribosomal RNA
Source: RNAcentral